GGCGGCACGCCUAACACAUGCAAGUCGAACGAAGUAGCAAUACUUAGUGGCAGACGGGUGAGUAACAUGUGGGUACCUACCCUUUGGCCUGGAAUAACACGAGGAAACUUGUGCUAAUACUGGAUAAGUCUUUACGGAGAAAGCUUUAUGCACCAUUGGAUGAGCCUGCACUUGAUUAGUUUGUUGGUGGGGUAACGGCCUACCAAGACUUUGAUCAAUAGCUGAUUUGAGAGGAUGAUCAGCCACAUUGGGACUGAGACACGGCCCAAACUCCUACGGGAGGCAGCAGUGGGGAAUCUUGCACAAUGGAGGAAACUCUGAUGCAGCGAUGCCGCGUGAGUGAAGAAGGCCCUUGGGUUGUAAAGCUCUUUCGUCGGGGAAGAAAAUGACUGUACCCGAAUAAGAAGGUCCGGCUAACUUCGUGCCAGCAGCCGCGGUAAUACGAAGGGACCUAGCGUAGUUCGGAAUUACUGGGCUUAAAGAGUUCGUAGGUGGUUGAAAAAGUUGGUGGUGAAAUCCCAGAGCUUAACUCUGGAACUGCCAUCAAAACUUUUCAGCUAGAGUUUGAUAGAGGAAAGCAGAAUUUCUAGUGUAGAGGUGAAAU
This 604-nucleotide ribosomal RNA is filed under the name uncultured bacterium. Its description in RNAcentral is "bacterial SSU rRNA". It matches the Rfam family "Bacterial small subunit ribosomal RNA", at positions 38 to 687 of the family's 1533-position model. The record is from RNAcentral.